GAUGAACGCUGGCGGCGUGCUUAACACAUGCAAGUCGAACGGAAAGGCCAGUGCUUGCACUGGUACUCGAGUGGCGAACGGGUGAGUAACACGUGGGUGAUCUGCCCUGUACUUCGGGAUAAGCUUGGGGAACUGGGUCUAAUACCGGAUAGGACAACUUUUUGGAUAUUGUUGUGGAAAGCUUUUGCGGUAUGGGAUGAGCUCGCGGCCUAUCAGCUUGUUGGUGGGGUAAUGGCCUACCAAGGCGUCGACGGGUAGCCGGCCUGAGAGGGUGUACGGCCACAUUGGGACUGAGAUACGGCCCAGACUCCUACGGGAGGCAGCAGUGGGGAAUAUUGCACAAUGGGCGCAAGCCUGAUGCAGCGACGCCGCGUGGGGGAUGAAGGCCUUCGGGUUGUAAACUCCUUUCGCUAGGGACGAAGCUUUUUUGUGACGGUACCUGGAGAAGAAGCACCGGCUAACUACGUG
This 468-nucleotide ribosomal RNA is filed under the name uncultured bacterium. RNAcentral describes it as "partial 16S ribosomal RNA". It matches the Rfam family "Bacterial small subunit ribosomal RNA", at positions 28 to 507 of the family's 1533-position model. The record is from RNAcentral.